CGGGGGAUUGCCUUAGUUACGGCGAGUGAAGCGGCAAAAGCUCAAAUUUGAAAUCUGGCACCUUCGGUGUCCGAGUUGUAAUUUGAAGAAGCUACUUUGGGGCUAGUCCUUGUCUAUGUUCCUUGGAACAGGACGUCAUGGAGGGUGAGAAUCCCGUAUGGCGAGGAGUCUAGUCCUAUGUAAAGUGCUUUCGACGAGUCGAGUUGUUUGGGAAUGCAGCUCUAAGUGGGUGGUAAAUUCCAUCUAAAGCUAAAUAUUGGCGAGAGACCGAUAGCGAACAAGUACAGUGAUGGAAAGAUGAAAAGAACUUUGAAAAGAGAGUGAAAAAGUACGUGAAAUUGUUGAAAGGGAAGGGCAUUUGAUCAGACAUGGUGUUUUGCGACCCUCGCUCCUUGUGGGUGGGGAUCUCGCAGCUCACUGGGCCAACAUCAGUUUUGGCGGUAGGAUAAAUCUUUGGGAACGUGGCUUGUCUUCGGAGAAGCGUUAUAGCCCAGGGGAAUACUGCCAGCCGGGACUGAGGACUGCGACUUUUGUCAAGGAUGUUGGCAUAAUGGUUAAAUGCCGCCCGUCUUGAACCACGGACCAAA
Molecule: ribosomal RNA, 587 nt
Filed under: Lachancea thermotolerans
Lineage: Eukaryota; Fungi; Ascomycota; Saccharomycetes; Saccharomycetales; Saccharomycetaceae
Description: partial large subunit ribosomal RNA
Rfam family: Eukaryotic large subunit ribosomal RNA
Source: RNAcentral